ACUUUCGUUUGAACCGAAGCCAGCUGGUUGGAGCCAGGAUUGCCCGGAUGGAUACCAUCUACCGGGAGUCCAUCAGCCCAGUUGAACGCCUGGCGAUUUGUCUCCGGCCACAUGUGUUCUCCACAACUACCUGCGGAGGUCAUUCCAGGAGCCGCUCCGGAUGGAGAUGGGCACGCCAAAUGGUCACCUACCUGAUGUCACCAGGGCAGGUGCCAACAACGCCCGCAGACAGGCACUCCAGGUGAGGGAGAAGCUGACCACCUACUUCUCAUCGCCAGCAGGUGAAGUCCCAUAGCAGUAUGCCGUGGAGUGAAACAGCUCUUUUAAGAGCCACAUAACACAAAGGUUAUUUUAAGAACCAUCCACCGUUGUCCAUAAAAUUGCAUUUUUUUCCGCAGAUUACUUUAUGUAUCAUUGUCUCUCUUCAUUUGGAAGCUAUAUUUAAGUGACAUUUGGGAGUAAAGACCACACCUUA
Molecule: non-coding RNA, 475 nt
Organism: Salvelinus sp. IW2-2015
Lineage: Eukaryota; Metazoa; Chordata; Actinopteri; Salmoniformes; Salmonidae
Source: RefSeq, a predicted model, not a curated record